ACAAUGGAGAGUUUGAUCCGGGCUCAGGAUGAACGCUAGCGGCAGGCUUAACACAUGCAAGUCGAGGGGCAGCGAGUAAGUUGCUUGCAACUUAUGUCGGCGACCGGCGCACGGGUGCGUAACGCGUAUGUAACCUACCUCAAACAGGGGCAUAACACUGAGAAAUUGGUACUAAUUCCCCAUAACACUAUAGGAGGCAUCUU
RNAcentral lists this ribosomal RNA (203 nucleotides) under Alistipes sp. RNAcentral's name for it is "partial 16S ribosomal RNA". It matches the Rfam family "Bacterial small subunit ribosomal RNA", at positions 1 to 194 of the family's 1533-position model. Lineage: Bacteria; Pseudomonadati; Bacteroidota; Bacteroidia; Bacteroidales; Rikenellaceae. The record is from RNAcentral.